CAGUGCCCAGCGGGUCUUACCCGCUGACCGGCCACCCGUGUCUACCUUACCUUCUGUUGCUUCGGCGGGCCCGUCCCCCUUUAACCUGGGGAGACCGCCGGGGGAGGCGUACCCACGCGCCCCUGGCCCGCGCCCGCCGAGGGACCCCUUGAACUCUUGUGAAGUUGGUGUUGUCUGAGUGCAAUAUUUUAAUGACACA
Molecule: unclassified non-coding RNA, 199 nt
Filed under: uncultured Ascomycota
Lineage: Eukaryota; Fungi; Ascomycota
Description: sequence contains ITS1
Source: RNAcentral